UACAGAGGGGGCAAGCGUUAUUCGGAAUUAUUGGGCGUAAAGGGCGCGUAGGCGGCUUUGCAAGUGGCGGGUGGAAAUCCCUCGGCUUAACCGAGGAACUGCCUGUCAAACUGCAUGGCUUGAGACCAGGAGAGGUGAGUGGAAUUCCCAGUGUAGCGGUGAAAUGCGUAGAUAUUGGGAGGAACACCAGUGGCGAAGGCGGCUCACUGGACUGGUACUGACGCUGAUGCGCGAAAGCGUGGGGAGCAAACAGG
RNAcentral lists this ribosomal RNA (254 nucleotides) under uncultured bacterium. RNAcentral's name for it is "partial 16S ribosomal RNA". It matches the Rfam family "Bacterial small subunit ribosomal RNA", at positions 524 to 776 of the family's 1533-position model. The record is from RNAcentral.